This 440-nucleotide ribosomal RNA is filed under the name uncultured bacterium. RNAcentral's name for it is "bacterial SSU rRNA". It matches the Rfam family "Bacterial small subunit ribosomal RNA", at positions 28 to 479 of the family's 1533-position model. The record is from RNAcentral.
GACGAACGCUGGCGGCGUGCCUAACACAUGCAAGUCGAACGGAGUUGAAAGGAGCUUGCUUUUUUCAACUCAGUGGCGGACGGGUGAGUAACGCGUGAGUAACCUGCCUUUCAGAGGGGGAUAACGUUCUGAAAAGAACGCUAAUACCGCAUAAGAUUGUAGUUUCGCAUGGAGCAGCAAUCAAAGGAGCAAUCCGCUGAAAGAUGGACUCGCGUCCGAUUAGAUAGUUGGCGGGGUAACGGCCCACCAAGUCGACGAUCGGUAGCCGGACUGAGAGGUUGAUCGGCCACAUUGGGACUGAGACACGGCCCAGACUCCUACGGGAGGCAGCAGUGAGGGAUAUUGGGCAAUGGGGGAAACCCUGACCCAGCAACGCCGCGUGAGGGAUGACGGUUUUCGGAUUGUAAACCUCUGUCCUCUGUGAAGAUAGUGACGGUAGC